GAUCAUGGCUCAGGACGAACGCUGGCGGCGUGCUUAACGCAUGCAAGUCGAACGAAAAGAGGGGAAGAGCUUGCUCUUUUCAGAAUUGAGUGGCAAACGGGUGAGUAACACGUAAACAACCUGCCUUCAGGAUGGGGACAACAGACGGAAACGACUGCUAAUACCGAAUAAGUUCCAAGAGCCGCAUGGCCCAUGGAAGAAAAGGUGGCCUCUACCUGUAAGCUAUCGCCUGAAGAGGGGUUUGCGUCUGAUUAGCUAGUUGGUGAGGUAACGGCUCACCAAGGCGACGAUGCGUAGCCGACCUGAGAGGGUGAUCGGCCACAUUGGGACUGAGACACGGCCCAGACUCCUACGGGAGGCAGCAGUGGGGAAUAUUGGGCAAUGGGCGAAAGCCUGACCCAGCAACGCCGCGUGAAGGAAGAAGGUCUUCGGAUUGUAAACUUCUUUUAUGAGGGACGAAGGAAGUGACGGUACCUCAUGAAUAAGCCACGGCUAACUACGUG
This 503-nucleotide ribosomal RNA is filed under the name uncultured bacterium. RNAcentral's name for it is "bacterial SSU rRNA". It matches the Rfam family "Bacterial small subunit ribosomal RNA", at positions 15 to 507 of the family's 1533-position model. The record is from RNAcentral.